Molecule: long non-coding RNA, 1546 nt
Organism: Onychostruthus taczanowskii (white-rumped snowfinch)
Lineage: Eukaryota; Metazoa; Chordata; Aves; Passeriformes; Passeridae
Exons: 3
Source: RefSeq, a predicted model, not a curated record
CGGGAGCGACACCCACACAAUCAAAAGCUGCUCUAUCCAGCCGGGCCGAGCGUUUCCGUGCUGCCCAGAGGAGAUGCCAUCCUGAGGAGUGGUUGGCCAGGACAUGACCUGGGCAGAAAGCCAGGGAGGAGCCCUGGGAGCAAAGCAGGUGUGGUGACACACUCGAGGAGCCAUGGUGGGAACUCUGGGGACUCAAAGGCAUCAAGCAGUGCUCAUCAUGUGGAGAGACUCCUUCCAUGUCCCAGGGAGGGACUUUCAUCUCCCCGUGUCAAGCUGUGCAGCCAGGAAGACCAAAGGCAGAGGAUGUGAGCAGUGGUCAUCCCUGAAGGGCCGGGGCGCAGAGCAGCAUCUUCUGGUUUUAAUUAAAAACCAUCCGCUGGCAAAGUCUGAUGGCGUGAGCGGUGCCUGGGCCGGGACAGGACCAGCAGGGAGCGUCUCCAGGGCAGCGCCCGGCACCGGCCGGGGCUGCCCCGCGUCCGAGCUCCGCCCCACGCCUGCCUUCCGUCCUCGUCCCUCUUCCCCUGCUCCCUCCUGCCUCCUUCCCUCUCCCCAGGGACCCCAGUGCCACUCUCGCCGUCACUUGGUCACCCCAUCCAUGGCCAUGAGCCCUUAGAGUUCUUCCCCUGCUCAUCCUCACUGAGGUUCCCCAUGUCUGCCCAGUUUGGGGGGUGGGGCAGAGGGCAGGGAGUGCCCCCCAGAGCAGAUUAUCCCAGGGGAUAAUAUCCCAUCCAUUCCCGGGCCCUGCCAUAGACCCCAGACAUUUGCCACGGGCACUGUCCCCUCACUGUGACCCCCACCUCUCUGCCACGGGGCUCACCCCAUCACUGUGACCCCCCAGUCCGGUUCCACGGCCCACUCUCUGUCACAACCCUCAUCCCUCUUCCAUGGAGCUCACUCUGCUCCCGUGCCCCCAUCCUCAUCCCAUCCCCGUGCCCCCAGCCCUCCUCCGCAGGGCUCACCCUCUGCUGUGACCCCCAUCCCUGCUCUGAGGGCUCCCCAGCCACCCCGAGCCGCGCUGACUUCACCCGGGCAGCGAUUUCCCCAUCACAUCAAAUUCGCCCAGCCCGAGCCCGGCGCGGCCGCUAAUCAGCUGGGUUAUCUGCGCCCCAUUCUUCACCGCUGCCGCUGCCCCGCCCGGGCGCGGGGGCUCAUCCCACCGCCCUCCUCCUCCUCCUCCUCCUCCCGCGGCAGCCACCUCCAUCCUUCCUUCCCACCCUGCAGCCCCGCCGCCCCCCCGGCCGGAGCGCGGCCAGCUGGCUUUGCCUGCUUUUCGGCUUCAACCUCCCCCAAGGAUUCCUAAAUCUGAUAAGGGAGGGGGGUGCUGCUUUCAAAGGAGCGGGGUUGACCUUUGCCGCUGCAACGAGAGCCGCAUGGAGGAAAAAAAUUGGCUGCGGCGAGCGGGGGGGAGCGAGCGAGCGAGCUGCUGUGGUUUUACAAUCCCUAAAUAACGCCGGGAGCUGAGCUGUAAACACAUGGCGGUACUGCCUGAGCGUGUCCGCACCCCCUCGAUGGAAACCCAGCCUGGAAAAUACUCCGACCUUAAAGG